GGCAGCAGUGGGGAAUAUUGCGCAAUGGGCGGAAGCCUGACGCAGCGACGCCGCGUGGGGGAUGACGGCCUUCGGGUUGUAAACCUCUUUCGGCCUUGACGAAGCUCUUCGGGGUGACGGUAGGGGUAGAAGAAGCACCGGCCAACUACGUGCCAGCAGCCGCGGUAAUACGUAGGGUGCGAGCGUUGUCCGGAAUUAUUGGGCGUAAAGAGCUCGUAGGCGGUCUGUCGCGUCGGUCGUGAAAACUUGGGGCUUAACCCUGAGCUUGCGGUCGAUACGGGCAUGACUGGAGUUCGGCAGGGGAGACUGGAAUUCCUGGUGUAGCGGUGAAAUGCGCAGAUAUCAGGAGGAACACCGGUGGCGAAGGCGGGUCUCUGGGCCGAUACUGACGCUGAGGAGCGAAAGCGUGGGGAGCGAACAGGAUUAGAUACCCUGGUAGUCCACGCCGUAAACGGUGGGCGCUAGGUGUGGGGGCCAUUCCACGGUCUCUGUGCCGCA
RNAcentral lists this ribosomal RNA (498 nucleotides) under uncultured bacterium. RNAcentral describes it as "bacterial SSU rRNA". It matches the Rfam family "Bacterial small subunit ribosomal RNA", at positions 347 to 850 of the family's 1533-position model. The record is from RNAcentral.